RNAcentral lists this transfer RNA (72 nucleotides) under Bacillus thuringiensis. Its description in RNAcentral is "tRNA-Val". It matches the Rfam family "tRNA". Rfam says of the family: Transfer RNA (tRNA) molecules are approximately 80 nucleotides in length. Their secondary structure includes four short double-helical elements and three loops (D, anti-codon, and T loops). Lineage: Bacteria; Bacillati; Bacillota; Bacilli; Caryophanales; Bacillaceae. The record is from RNAcentral. RNAcentral also lists the same sequence under 2 other names.
GAUUAGCUCAGCUGGGAGAGCACCUGCCUUACAAGCAGGGGGUCGGCGGUUCGAUCCCGUCAUCCUCCACCA